GACGAACGCUGGCGGCGUGCUUAACACAUGCAAGUCGAACGAAGAGCGAUGGAAGCUUGCUUCUAUCAAUCUUAGUGGCGAACGGGUGAGUAACGCGUAAUCAACCUGCCCUUCAGAGGGGGACAACAGUUGGAAACGACUGCUAAUACCGCAUACGAUCCAAUCUCGGCAUCGGGACUGGAUGAAAGGUGGCCUCUAUUUAUAAGCUAUCACUGAAGGAGGGGAUUGCGUCUGAUUAGCUAGUUGGAGGGGUAACGGCCCACCAAGGCGAUGAUCAGUAGCCGGUCUGAGAGGAUGAACGGCCACAUUGGGACUGAGACACGGCCCAGACUCCUACGGGAGGCAGCAGUGGGGAAUCUUCCGCAAUGGACGAGAGUCUGACGGAGCAACGCCGCGUGAGUGAUGACGGCCUUCGGGUUGUAAAGCUCUGUUAAUCGGGACGAAUGGUUCUUGUGCGAAUAGUGCGAGGAUUUGACGGUACCGGAAUAGAAAGCCACGGCUAACUACGUG
Molecule: ribosomal RNA, 510 nt
Filed under: uncultured bacterium
Lineage: Bacteria
Description: partial 16S ribosomal RNA
Rfam family: Bacterial small subunit ribosomal RNA
Source: RNAcentral